GAUGACAGUGUUGUUAAGAAAAGGCUAAGCUUGAGAGCAGGCGCAUUAUUUUCAUUUUAUUUGCGAUUUUCAGAAAUCGUUAACAUUGCGUUAUGCUAAUGAGCCUGAGGCUUUAUUCACGAUCCCGGAUCCGGGAUGGGGAGUAUCAAGAGGUUAAAAUUAAAUAUAGUAAGGCAUAGAUAAGUGAUUAAAUAUCAUAGCUAAGUAACGGUAAGGAUGUUUAGAAAUUCCUCAAAAGAAGUGGCGGAAACUAGCAGGAGAUUACCGUUAUAGGAGAACAAAGAGAAUGGAAGGGAGGCGUCCAAAAUCUGACUCAGACAAAGAACCUGAAUGGAAGCUGAUAUUAUGAAUAUAGCCAGGAAGGGUUUUAAAUUAGGACGAUUUUCUGGGAAUUCCCUGUGUCGAAGUUUUGCGACUACGGACAAUUAUAAUAAUAUAAUUAUUGGCGGGGAAACACAAUCAUGUUAAUAGCGGAACACCAAGAUACAGUAUUUCAGCUUUGAAACCGAUAGACUAAAAUUGAUUUUAGAUUGUAAUUCACCUAUUUGCAUGUUUUGCCCGAAAAAUACAGUCGCCAGUGUUAGUAUAAAAUAUGAACUGAAACCUUAAAAUGUGUUUUAGAUAGAAUCGAAAAAAGGCAUUAAAAAUAAUGGCGAGGCAAUUGAGGUAAUACGCUAUUUUGCCCAAAAUGAUCUGGAGGAAUUGAUUAGGACAGUAUUGAGAAAAGUGGAUAAGGCGAGUCAAAAGAGAAAGAGAAAAUGUUUUAAUUGUAACGAAAUUGGAUAUUUCGCCCGGGAGUGUAACACUCCCUGCAAAAGAUGUCACCACCAAUAUUGUAAUUUAACUGAAGGGAAGGUCAGAGGCGACAAUCGGGUAAAGAAAAAUAAGGGUCAGAUACAAAGAGAGCGAGAUUAAUGAGAAUCCUAACUGAGGGAAAACUUUGGGCAUUUAAAUUAGGGCUAUUUUCUGUUGUCCAGAUGCCGGAGUAACAAAUACAGAUAGCUGUAAAAUGGGUCUAUUUGCGGAGAAUCUCAGUCAGUUCCAUACCAUUGGUGGUAUAGUGGUGAGCGUAGCAGUCUUACGAACUACAGUCCAGGGUUCGGUUCCCAGCCGAGGCAUUAACUAAAAAAAUAUAUUUAUCUGAUUUUUUGGUUGUAAUUAAACUAAUUGUUUUGCAGAGAAAGUUAUAGUCACUAGUUUGGUUCAAAUUGAAAGACUAAUUCAUUCAACUUAAAAUAAGAACGAAGCUAAUUUUGAUGCAAGACGAUGUCUGUUCACUAAAUGAUCUGUUGGGAAUAAUAUAUUGGGAAUAGAGUCGUAAUUAAAAUGUUAAAUCAAAAACGGGACAGUAACUUAAAUCAAAUGAAUUCUGAAUAAUAACGGAGAAACAAUUACGAUAGAUUUGUGCCCAUCGAAAUGUUCUUAUAAAAUUAGCGAAUUGGGAGGUGAGAGAUGUUGAUUGAUGUUGUAAACUAUAAUUCAGGAUUCAACAGAUGUGGUAAAUUAGGUUUGGUUUAUCGAACCCGAAAUACUGUUGCUGCAGACAGCCAACAAUUAUUUACAACUCAUUGAAAAUCGUUGCGAAUUGAGUCAAGGUUGAGCGCUUGUUGAUGACGUCACUCGCAAAGCACUUUUGGUCGCCACAGAAAUUACGUUGGGACUUGAGAGUAACGGAGAAAAUUGUUUGUCUGUUAGAAGGAAAAUGGGUGCAUUAGUUUCGAGUUACUUUUCAGAAGUUGAUAAAAAUUACAAAAUACAUUUUUAACAGUAAUUUGAGAAGUCGCCAGGAUAGUCAGGAAAGAUGCUAAAAACUAGCAGCUGAUACGUUAGGUAGGCAUCAUAAGAUUUGUGGUGUUUGUUUGGAUUGAAUUAGGCUAUGGGAGAGAGAGACUGGAUGUCUGAAUCGUAAAACAUCGUGGUAAUGGAUUCCGAUGGUUGUGAUUCCAGGUUUGAUUGUUUAUGUAACACCAGUGAAUUUGAGCACUGUCUCCAAUGUGGGGAACCAUGUUAGGGUAUUUAAAGUUGAGAAGGGAAAUUAGAAGGGAAAUUAGCUAGGUUGAAUUUGGUUAUUCGAGCUUUUCCCCUGAUACGUAGACGCCCGUAACAGGGGCAAGUUUUUUUUCUUGAGGAACUAACAGAUGUAAACGUGAGUCUCUGAGUAAUUUUGCCAUCUGAAGCAUUAUAGUAGUGAGGUUUCGUAUAGUUUGUUUUUAGCUGAUAAAAGUGGUUUGUUUAUUUGUUUACUGGUUAUGGUGAAUUUUAGGGUUUGAUUUAACUUAGUUAAACAUUGUAUUCUGGCGUGUUUAGGUAGGAUUCUUUGUUCCGGGACGGAUGGGAGUUACCUAAAAUAAGUAAAUUAAAGGAGCCAUGGGAGAAUGCGAAUACAUAUUUAUUAAAUAUCGGGGAUUAAAUUAUGGAUUUCUUACACUGAGAAAUGUACGACAUUUGAGGCAGAGGGGAAAAGUAAUACAUUGGAUAAUAAUGGUAUCAGGUUUAAUUGUAUCUAAGGGUAGCAUGUUCAUUUAAGUAAACACAUACGUAGACAAUGUUUAAAAAACUUAUGAUUAAUGAUUUGAGUCAAAGGGGAAUUAUAAUUAGGUUUUUAGUUAUAGUUCACUUAAUUGAGUUUCUGAAUCGAAGUAGCAUAGUGAAUGCUAGUUAGGCGUGUUGUGUCUCUCUUUUAGAAGUCUCCUGGGAUUAUAAUUUUGGGGAGAGUGGGGGAGAGAGCGGCCAUAAACGACCAAAUUGAAAAAGGUCUGCAAAUAUAUACACAUAAAACAAUUGUUAGAACUAUUUGUUUUAGUACAAAGGUAUUUUAAAGAGGACGCUCACAUAUGGAACCUUAUGAGUUUUUAUUUUAUGGGUUUUAAUUACACAGGUGAUUAUUUUAAUUUUAAGGAUAAAGGGUUCUUUAUGUCUAAUAUGGUAUGACCUUUUGACCUUAUCGUGGCUAUCUUUUGGGGUCUGAUCAGCCCCGGGGGAGAGCCAUUUGUAUAAUAAAUUGUGGUCAGUUGGGUUACUAAUUUUAAGGUAAAUUCGUUAUAAUGGAAUGCUAGUUUGGGGUUAGAAUUAUUGGUUGAAUCACUGAAGCUGAUUUACAAUAUUAGCUGGGAAGUUUUUGAAUUGGCUAUUAUGGAUUUGAUAUUACAACAGAAAAUAGUUCUCUUUAUCAUAGAGAAUAAAUAGGGGUGAUAAAUUACUGUAGAUAAGGUAUUCCAUGUUAUUGUCAGAUAGAACACUGCGGAUCCCUGAAGUAGAGAGCUGGUAAAGUGUAGGAAGAAUUUCGAUAUGGUUAGCAUUUGUUCAGGCUCUGGUUAACCAUUAGGAGGUAUUUUAAAUUGUAUUAAAUUUGACAGGAAUAUAGGACAUCUGUGGUGAUUUAGGAUUAUUGUAAGGAUUAAGAUAGAUUGAUUAAGGAAAUGUAAGGACUUUAGAGAUGGCCACUUACAGACAUGUUUUUUUCUCUCUCUAAAAUCAAGGAUUUGAUUUUAAACAGUGAGACGCUUAGUGGCAUUUUGAGAGAUAGCAGAGAAAGGAAUUACUGUUUAAAAUCGGUAAAUAUAUAUAUUUAAGAACAUACAUAAAUAACACAGAAACGUCUUAAACUAGAUAAGCCACUGGACAGAGAAUUGAUACAGGAUUGGGAUGAAUGGAUGCCCAAGAGAGAAUUGGACAUACAUGAUAAUGUCAGAAAAUAAGGAUAAUUUACUAAUCCUACCUAAGUCAUUAUUUAGGUUAUAUAAGGUUGAUACCUGGGCAGAGCCAGGUAUCAAAAGGGGGGUGGGUAAGUUAGUGGCCUAUUGGAUAAGAAACUAAUAAUAAAAAAUAAAUAAAAACAUUUUUAUCUAUCAGAUAAAACAAAACAUAUGAGAAACUGUUUGUUAACCAAGCCUGUAUGCCCAGGAUUUUAUGCAUUACAGGUGAACUACAGGUGAAGUCACUCAAUCCAGUCCCAGAGGCUUGUUGGGGGGACCAUACCAAGGACUCCUGGUGACAGCUAGCUGAAAGAGCUACCCGGAUUCAUAUCGCACGGCGUGAGGAAGUGAAGAUAUGUCUGGCUCUUGCUAAGUGAUGUGUUCUCGGGGAGAGGGUGGGGCUUCACAUGGAAGCUGUUCGUCUGAGCUGUCUUAUCGUGGGUGACAUAUUCCUGAUACAGCACGUCCUACUUGAGUAUGCGGAGAGUGGUAAUUUGACCCAUGGUUUAGACGAUGAGGAUUUUGUUCCAAAAUAAGCAUAAGAGAUCCCUAGAUCUGGGUAGACAGGAAGUUAGAGUAGAGGUUGGGAAGGAUCUCUCAAUGGAGUUUUAUUAGACCAAAAUGGAGUCUCUAACUACAUGGCAGUCUAGGACUCUGAGCCAUUAUGGCAUAUAUUGGUGCAGGUUCCCAUAUUGAUCGUGGACACAGGUCAUAGCUCAUUUGGAGAGAGAGGGCUAUAUGAAUCCACUCACCCAGUAUGGAAGGAGGUGGAGUAUAGUGAAGGUGAGAGUUUUUGAUUGUAAUCCGGAGAGAGGGAUGCAUUGCAUAAAGAUACACCGAAACCUUUAAACAGUAAUGAAGGAGAAUCUAGGGUUGUGGUAUGAUGGAUAUGACCAGUUCUUGGUCGACACCCUAGUACGGUUCUGGGUAGAGGUAUGGUAAAGCUGUUCACGAAAGCAGGAAUGCCAGAUAAUGACAGUUGUAUUGAUUUGCACUAUUUAAAUCCCCAGGUUCGUCCCUUCACAGUGACCGGAGGAGAUUAUUACCGUUUGGCCCGGUACAGUACUCUUGGGAAAUUAUGUCAGGGCGAGGUUUUCCCGACAGAUUGGACAGGAUUAUGCUCCAUUGUAAUGCCUUUCACACUCAUUAAACACCAAGACAUGAAGUAUCGCCAAAUGGGAGAAAAGAGCUAUUCCAUCCGGGUCUCUUAUUGACUAAGUAUACAUUGAUAACAUUGGGGUUCCAAGGGGGGUGCCAGAUGAGUCAAAGCAUGAAAUCACAUCCUAGCAGGAUUAGAGUUAAGCAUUUCCGGGGGGUCUACUCUCAAUAAGAACAUGGACUGGAUUAAUUAUAUUUAUGAUAAUCAACAGCGCUUUAACAAGUAUACCAGAGAUGCUAUUAAAGGUUUUGCAGAACAGACUGAAGCAACCAGCUGGAUGGCUUGGCAGAAUAGAAUUGCAUUAGAUAUGUUAAUGGCUGAAAAGGGAGAAGUACGCGUGAUUAUCGGGACCAUGUUUGUGCUUACAUCCCAAAUAACACAGCUCCGGACGAAUCAGUGCCCGAAGCCUCAGCUGGUUUAACCACCCUGGCUCACGGUUUGGCAGAAAACUCUGGGGUGGAUACUUCUCUGACUAAUUGUUUUGAUAAGUAUGUUCGGAAAAUGGGAAAAAAUAUUAUGAUCAUUGUAUUAUGGGCUACAUUCACCUGUGUGACUGUUUUAGUUUUAUGGGGCUGUUGUCUAAUUCCCUGUGUAUGAGGCCUUAUUUCCAGGAAAUCGAUGGCAAUAGAUGGUGAGGUACCAGCGGAUUCCAGGUUCUGACCCGUGGAGGACUGAAUGCAUGUCUACAGAACAAGUGGAUGAAUCUGGAUCUUUUAUUUGUGGGGAAUUUAUGUUUGAUAAGACCAUUUUUGAUGUUUAGGCAGGCUAGGUUGUAUCCCAUCUCAAUAUUAGACUGUUUUUUAAUAAAGAUUGUAACGAAAAUCCUGAUAAGAAGAGUUAUGAUUCUGAUGUAGGCCUGAGAAACAGUUAUGGCGAAUGCAAGUGUUGGGUUAUGUUUAGGUGAUGUUUUGAUGACACGAAAUAUCUCUAAUAAAAAUAGAAAUGGGCUUUUCAAUAUUACAAUAUAACUACAAUGUGUGUUUGAAUGUAUAAUAUUUAAUCAAAGGGUGGAUAUGUUAAGGGAAUUUUUAUCAAUGAUGACUAAUUAUGUAUACAUUUCAAUCAGGACUGACUAGUCCAAAUGCUAUUAUGUACUGUACAUAUAUGAAUUUUCUCUCUUGCUCCCAUUCCCAAUUGUAUAUAAUAUAGUCAGGAGUUUAGAACAGUGCCUUGGUACAAAUGGAUGAACUAUCUCCAGAUGGCAGAGACGGACUAUCUCUAGACUGUCUAGAAUGCUAUCUACACGGACUGACCUUGGCUACAGGCGAGGAGGGAAGGCUCGAGAACUAUAGGGCCUCACUACCGGUGUCAUGAAGAGAUAGAACAUUAGAAAACACUGACGUCAUUUUCAGUUUAUAACCUGUGGUAAAAUGUGUAUAUACGAGUACUCUCUUGAAUUAAACACUGUUACCUGAC
Long non-coding RNA from Oncorhynchus masou masou (cherry salmon), 6270 nucleotides. RefSeq lists it as uncharacterized. The record is from RefSeq and is a predicted model, not a curated record. NCBI's taxonomy places the organism in Eukaryota, Metazoa, Chordata, Actinopteri, Salmoniformes, Salmonidae. The transcript is spliced from 2 exons.